This is a non-coding RNA of Globicatella sp. HMSC072A10, 2599 nucleotides long. NCBI's taxonomy places the organism in Bacteria, Bacillati, Bacillota, Bacilli, Lactobacillales, Aerococcaceae. The record is from Rfam.
CUCCAAUAUAAGACCGAAGUGAGUAGUAGAAUCUGAUGGGAAGCAGAGCGAGACAAGGUGAGAGCCCUGUAUACGAAACUGACUGAAGCUUUAGGAGUAUCCUGAGUACGGCGGGACACGAGGAAUCCCGUUGGAAUCCGCCAGGACCAUCUGGCAAGGCUAAAUACUCCCUAGUGACCGAUAGUGAACCAGUACCGUGAGGGAAAGGUGAAAAGCACCCCUGGAGGGGAGUGAAAGAGUACCUGAAACCGUGUGCCUACAAGUAAUCAGAGCCCGUUAAGGGGUGAUGGUGUACCUUUUGUAGAAUGGACCGGCGAGUGACGAUACCAUGCGAGGUUAAGUUGAAGAAACGGAGCCGUAGCGAAAGCGAGUCUGAAUAGGGCGAGAGUAUGUUGUUGUCGACCCGAAACCAAGUGACCUACCCAUGAGCAGGUUGAAGGUGUGGUAAGACACACUGGAGGACCGAACCAGGACACGUUGAAAAGUGUUUGGAUGACUUGUGGGUAGCGGAGAAAUUCCAAUCGAACUUGGAGAUAGCUGGUUCUCUCCGAAAUAUAUUUAGGUAUAGCCUCAGAGUAAGAGUCAUGGAGGUAGAGCACUGUUUGAACGAGGGGGACGCAAGUUUUACCGAAUUCAGAUAAACUCCGAAUGCCAAGGACUCAUCUCUGGGAGUCAGACUGCGAGUGAUAAGAUCCGUAGUCGAAAGGGAAACAGCCCAGCCCACCAGCUAAGGUCCCCAAGUAAUUGUUAAGUGGAAAAGGAUGUGGAGUUGCACAGACAGCUAGGAUGUUGGCUUAGAAGCAGCCAUCAUUUAAAGAGUGCGUAAUAGCUCACUAGUCGAGUGAUUCUGCGCCGAAAAUGUACCGGGGCUAAACAAUACACCGAAGCUGUGGAUUCUAGUUUAAGACUAGAGUGGUAGGAGAGCGUUCUAUAUGCGGCGAAGGCAUACCGUGAGGAGUGUUGGAGCGUAUAGAAGUGAGAAUGCCGGUAUGAGUAGCGCAAGACGGGUGAGAAUCCCGUCCACCGAUAGACUAAGGUUUCCAGGGGAAGGCUCGUCCGCCCUGGGUUAGUCGGGACCUAAGCCCAAGCCGACAGGCGUAAGCGAUGGACAACAGGUAGAGAUUCCUGUACUUGAUGUUAUCGAUUGAGUGAAGGAGGGACACAGGAGGUGACUCCACGCAUCCGGAUGGAAGAGGAUGUGCAAGCAGUGAGUUUUAGUAAGAGUGAAAUGCUUUUACUUAAAAGGAUGAGCUGUUAAGCGUAGCGAAUAAAGUAGCGAAGGUGGAUAAUCAAACUGUCGAGAAAAGCUUCUAGCGAGAUAACAUGAACCCGUACCGCAAACCGACACAGGUAGUCAAGUGGAGAACACUAAGGUGAUCGAGAGAACUCUCGUUAAGGAACUCGGCAAAAUGACCCCGUAACUUCGGGAGAAGGGGUGCUGGUAGGAAUACCAGCCGCAGUGAAUAGGCCCAGGCGACUGUUUAUCAAAAACACAGGUCUCUGCCAAAUCGAAAGAUGACGUAUAGGGGCUGACGCCUGCCCGGUGCUGGAAGGUUAAGAGGAGAGGUUAGCGCAAGCGACGCUUCGAAUUGAAGCCCCAGUAAACGGCGGCCGUAACUAUAACGGUCCUAAGGUAGCGAAAUUCCUUGUCGGGUAAGUUCCGACCCGCACGAAAGGCGUAACGAUCUGGGCACUGUCUCAACGAGAGACUCGGUGAAAUUAUAGUACCUGUGAAGAUGCAGGUUACCCGCGACAGGACGGAAAGACCCCAUGGAGCUUUACUGUAACUUGAUAUUGAGUGUUUGUGUGACAUGUACAGGAUAGGUAGGAGCUUAUGAAUCGUGAACGCCAGUUUACGAGGAGGCGCUGGUGGGAUACUACCCUUGUGAUAUGAACCCUCUAACCCGCGUUGUGAGGCAACGGGAGACAGUGUCAGGUGGACAGUUUGACUGGGGCGGUCGCCUCCUAAAGUGUAACGGAGGCGCCCAAAGGUUCCCUCAGAAUGGUUGGAAAUCAUUCGUAGAGUGCAAAGGCAGAAGGGAGCUUGACUGCGAGACCUACAAGUCGAGCAGGGACGAAAGUCGGGCUUAGUGAUCCGGUGGUACCGUAUGGAAGGGCCAUCGCUCAACGGAUAAAAGCUACCCUGGGGAUAACAGGCUUAUCUCCCCCAAGAGUUCACAUCGACGGGGAGGUUUGGCACCUCGAUGUCGGCUCAUCGCAUCCUGGGGCUGAAGUCGGUCCCAAGGGUUGGGCUGUUCGCCCAUUAAAGCGGUACGCGAGCUGGGUUCAGAACGUCGUGAGACAGUUCGGUCCCUAUCCGUCGCGGGCGUAGGAAAUUUGAGAAGAGCUAUCCUUAGUACGAGAGGACCGGGAUGGACGCACCGCUGGUGUACCAGUUGUUCCGCCAGGAGCAUCGCUGGGUAGCUAUGUGUGGGAAGGAUAAGCGCUGAAAGCAUCUAAGCGCGAAGCCAGCUUCAAGAUGAGAUUUCCCAUUCGAAAGAAGUAAGACCCCUGAGAGACGAUCAGGUAGAUAGGCUAGAAGUGGAAGUAUAGUGAUAUAUGGAGCGGACUAGUACUAAUCGGUCGAGGACUUAACCAC